AUACGGAGGGUGCAAGCGUUGUUCGGAAUUAUUGGGCGUAAAGCGCGUGUAGGCGGUUGGUUAAGUCUGAUGUGAAAGCCCUGGGCUCAACCCGGGAAGUGCAUUGGAAACUGGCUAACUUGAGUACGGGAGAGGGUAGUGGUAAUUUCGAGUGGUAGGGGUGAAAUCCGUAGAUAUUCGAAGGAACACCGGUGGCGAAGGCGGCUACCUGGACCGAUACUGACGCUGAGACGCGGAAGCGUGGGGAGC
RNAcentral lists this ribosomal RNA (249 nucleotides) under uncultured bacterium. RNAcentral describes it as "partial 16S ribosomal RNA". It matches the Rfam family "Bacterial small subunit ribosomal RNA", at positions 523 to 769 of the family's 1533-position model. The record is from RNAcentral.